CCUACGGGUGGCAGCAGUGGGGAAUAUUGGACAAUGGGGGCAACCCUGAUCCAGCCAUGCCGCGUGUGUGAAGAAGGCCCUCGGGUUGUAAAGCACUUUCAGUGAGGAAGAACGCCUGGUGGUUAAUACCCAUCAGGAAAGACAUCACUCACAGAAGAAGCACCGGCUAACUCCGUGCCAGCAGCCGCGGUAAUACGGAGGGUGCGAGCGUUAAUCGGAAUUACUGGGCGUAAAGCGCGCGUAGGUGGCUUGAUAAGCCGGUUGUGAAAGCCCCGGGCUCAACCUGGGAACAGCAUCCGGAACUGUCAAGCUAGAGUGCAGGAGAGGAAGGUAGAAUUCCCGGUGUAGCGGUGAAAUGCGUAGAGAUCGGGAGGAAUACCAGUGGCGAAGGCGGCCUUCUGGACUGACACUGACACUGAGGUGCGAAAGCGUGGGUAGCAAACAGGAUUAGAUACCCUAGUAGUC
Molecule: ribosomal RNA, 465 nt
Filed under: Vreelandella stevensii
Lineage: Bacteria; Pseudomonadati; Pseudomonadota; Gammaproteobacteria; Oceanospirillales; Halomonadaceae
Description: partial 16S ribosomal RNA
Rfam family: Bacterial small subunit ribosomal RNA
Source: RNAcentral